GGAUCUGUCUCAACUGGUUGU
Molecule: small nuclear RNA, 21 nt
Filed under: Arabidopsis thaliana (thale cress)
Lineage: Eukaryota; Viridiplantae; Streptophyta; Magnoliopsida; Brassicales; Brassicaceae
Description: snRNA_11944
Source: RNAcentral